Molecule: ribosomal RNA, 497 nt
Filed under: uncultured bacterium
Lineage: Bacteria
Description: partial 16S ribosomal RNA
Rfam family: Bacterial small subunit ribosomal RNA
Source: RNAcentral
GACGAACGCUGGCGGCGUGCCUAAUACAUGCAAGUUGAGCGAUGAAGAUUGGUGCUUGCCCCAAUUUGAAGAGCAGCGAACGGGUGAGUAACGCGUGGGGAAUCUGCCUUUGAGCGGGGGACAACAUUUCGAAACGAAUGCUAAUACCGCAUAACAACUUUAAACAUAAGUUUUAAGUUUGAAAGAUGCAAUUGCAUCACUCAAAGAUGAUCCCGCGUUGUAUUAGCUAGUUGGUGAGGUAAAGGCUCACCAAGGCGAUGAUACAUAGCCGACCUGAGAGGGUGAUCGGCCACAUUGGGACUGAGACACGGCCCAAACUCCUACGGGAGGCAGCAGUAGGGAAUCUUCGGCAAUGGACGAAAGUCUGACCGAGCAACGCCGCGUGAGUGAAGAAGGUUUUCGGAUCGUAAAACUCUGUUGGUAGAGAAGAACGUUGGUGAGAGUGGAAAGCUCAUCAAGUGACGGUAACUACCCAGAAAGGGACGGCUAACUACGUG